CCAGACUCCUACGGGAGGCAGCAGUGAGGAAUAUUGGUCAAUGGCCGAGAGGCUGAACCAGCCAAGUCGCGUGAGGGAAGACGGCCCUACGGGUUGUAAACCUCUUUUGUCGGGGAGCAAAGCGAGUCACGUGUGACUCAUUGAGAGUACCCGAAGAAAAAGCAUCGGCUAACUCCGUGCCAGCAGCCGCGGUAAUACGGAGGAUGCGAGCGUUAUCCGGAUUUAUUGGGUUUAAAGGGUGCGUAGGCGGAACAUUAAGUCAGCGGUAAAAUCGAGGGGCUCAACCCCUUUAAGCCGUUGAAACUGGUGAUCUUGAGUGGGCGAGAAGUAUGCGGAAUGCGUGGUGUAGCGGUGAAAUGCAUAGAUAUCACGCAGAACUCCGAUUGCGAAGGCAGCGUACCGGCGCCCAACUGACGCUCAUGCACGAAAGCGUGGGUAUCGAGCAGGAUUAGAUACCCUCGUA
This 463-nucleotide ribosomal RNA is filed under the name uncultured bacterium. RNAcentral's name for it is "bacterial SSU rRNA". It matches the Rfam family "Bacterial small subunit ribosomal RNA", at positions 331 to 792 of the family's 1533-position model. The record is from RNAcentral.